GCUUGCGUAUUUCUCAGUCCACUCUUUGGCAUUUAUCAAGAACAGUUGCUUGUUGUACUUGUACUCUGAGGAUAUGUCUGCCAUGAGGGGGUCAUCGGGGUUGGGCUCCACCAUCAGCAGCUGUAUGGAGGUCAGCAGUGUGGAGAUGUUCAAGGAGGGCCUCCACGCGCCCUUUGGUGGUAACUUAAGAACAUCCAGACAAAUCCUUCCAGCAGAGUCGAUGUUAGGAUGAUAAAUAGGGGUCAGAAAUCGAAUCUUCGGGGGCUCAAAUGGGUACCUUUCAGGAACCACUAUCUCCAGGUCGAAUAUCCCUUUCUCAUAGGGUGUAUCUGCAGCUCCGAUAAUUUGUGCCCGCAGCUCAUCCAGCCGCGCUCCGCUCUGCCAGCAGCUGAUGCCGGGCGGCGGCUCCGUGCUCAGCAUUGUGAGCUCCCUGCUGAGCCGCGAUGCUCUCUGCAUGCCGUGGAUAUGAGGCUCUUCUUCAGCUGCCCCCGCAGAGGGUUCCUUGGCU
Molecule: long non-coding RNA, 508 nt
Filed under: Gallus gallus (chicken)
Lineage: Eukaryota; Metazoa; Chordata; Aves; Galliformes; Phasianidae
Source: RNAcentral